UGUCCUGAUGAUACCAAUGUUAGGAAGUGCCGUCAGAAGCGAUAACUGACGACUUUUUUGCUUGCCUGACU
This is a small nucleolar RNA of Manis pentadactyla (Chinese pangolin), 71 nucleotides long. RefSeq annotates it as small nucleolar RNA SNORD49. Lineage: Eukaryota; Metazoa; Chordata; Mammalia; Pholidota; Manidae. The transcript has a single exon. The record is from RefSeq and is a predicted model, not a curated record.